RNAcentral lists this transfer RNA (82 nucleotides) under Paenibacillus catalpae. RNAcentral describes it as "Paenibacillus sp. D75 tRNA". It matches the Rfam family "tRNA". From Rfam's summary of the family: Transfer RNA (tRNA) molecules are approximately 80 nucleotides in length. Their secondary structure includes four short double-helical elements and three loops (D, anti-codon, and T loops). The record is from Rfam by way of RNAcentral. Lineage: Bacteria; Bacillati; Bacillota; Bacilli; Caryophanales; Paenibacillaceae.
GCGGUUGUGGUGGAAUGGCAGACACGCUAUCUUGAGGGGGUAGUGCCCACUGGGCGUAUGGGUUCAAGUCCCAUCAACCGCA